GGUUAAGCGACUAAGCGUACACGGUGGAUGCCCUGGCAGUCAGAGGCGAUGAAGGACGUGCUAAUCUGCGAUAAGCGUCGGUGAGGUGAUAUGAACCGUUAUAACCGGCGAUUUCCGAAUGGGGAAACCCAGUGUGUUUCGACACACUAUCAUUAACUGAAUCCAUAGGUUAAUGAGGCGAACCGGGGGAACUGAAACAUCUAAGUACCCCGAGGAAAAGAAAUCAACCGAGAUUCCCCCAGUAGCGGCGAGCGAACGGGGAGGAGCCCAGAGCCUGAAUCAGUGUGUGUGUUAGUGGAAG
Molecule: ribosomal RNA, 301 nt
Filed under: Escherichia coli
Lineage: Bacteria; Pseudomonadati; Pseudomonadota; Gammaproteobacteria; Enterobacterales; Enterobacteriaceae
Also listed under: 1 other name
Description: partial 23S ribosomal RNA
Rfam family: Bacterial large subunit ribosomal RNA
Source: RNAcentral